CCUACGGGAGGCAGCAGUGAGGAAUAUUGGUCAAUGGACGAGAGUCUGAACCAGCCAAGUAGCGUGAAGGAUGACUGCCCUAUGGGUUGUAAACUUCUUUUAUAUGGGAAUAAAAUGUUCCACGUGUGGGAUUUUGUAUGUACCAUAUGAAUAAGGAUCGGCUAACUCCGGGCCAGCCGCCGCGGUAAUACGGAGGAUCCGAGCGUUAUCCGGAUUUAUUGGGUUUAAAGGGAGCGUAGGGGGGUUGUUAAGUCAGUUGUGAAAGUUUGCGGCUCAACCGUAAAAUUGCAGUUGAAACUGGCAGGCUUGAGUGCAGUAGAGGUGGGCGGAAUGCGUGGUGUAGCGGUGAAAUGCUUAGAGAUCACGAAGAACUCCGAUUGCGAAGGCAGUUCACUGGACUGCAACUGACGCUGAGGCUCGAAAGUGUGGGUAUCAAACAGGAUUAGAUACCCCGGUAGUC
RNAcentral lists this ribosomal RNA (460 nucleotides) under uncultured bacterium. RNAcentral describes it as "partial 16S ribosomal RNA". It matches the Rfam family "Bacterial small subunit ribosomal RNA", at positions 338 to 795 of the family's 1533-position model. The record is from RNAcentral.